GGAGUUAAGAAAUGCAGAGAUGUUAAUAGCGUCUUUGCUUGACUAAGGCUCCGGAGGAAGCCACGGCUAACUCUCUGCCAGCAGCCGCGGUAAUACAGAGGCGGCAAGCGUUGUUCGGAAUUAUUGGGCGUAAAGAGCACGUAGGCGGCUAUGUAAGUCGGUUGUGAAAGCCUUCCGCUCAACGGGAGAACGGCAUCCGAUACUGCAUGGCUUGAGUGCGGGAGGGGAGAGUGGAACUUCUGGU
RNAcentral lists this ribosomal RNA (244 nucleotides) under uncultured anaerobic ammonium-oxidizing bacterium. Its description in RNAcentral is "partial 16S ribosomal RNA". It matches the Rfam family "Bacterial small subunit ribosomal RNA", at positions 439 to 674 of the family's 1533-position model. The record is from RNAcentral.